RNAcentral lists this ribosomal RNA (264 nucleotides) under uncultured bacterium. RNAcentral's name for it is "partial 16S ribosomal RNA". The record is from RNAcentral.
CUGCUGCCUCCCGUAGGAGUUUGGGCCGUGUCUCAGUCCCAAUGUGGCCGUCCACCCUCUCAGGCCGGCUACUGAUCGUCGCCUUGGUGGGCCGUUACCCCGCCAACAAGCUAAUCAGACGCGGGUCCAUCUUACACCACUAAUGUUUUUCUACUCUGUCCCAUGCGGGACUGUGCGCUUAUGCGGUAUUAGCACCUAUUUCUAAGUGUUAUCCCCCUGUGUAAGGCAGGUUACCCACGCGUUACUCACCCGUCCGCCACUAAG